RNAcentral lists this ribosomal RNA (729 nucleotides) under Triticum aestivum (bread wheat). Its description in RNAcentral is "partial small subunit ribosomal RNA". Lineage: Eukaryota; Viridiplantae; Streptophyta; Magnoliopsida; Poales; Poaceae. The record is from RNAcentral.
GAUGAGGAUAGGCCAUGGAAAGGGUCGCCGACGCCUUGUGAUGAGAUGGAUAAGCAGCUGUUUGCGAGAUGCAUGUCGAUUCAGCUGGGAGACGGAAGCAUUGCGGCGUUCUGGAGGGACCGGUGGCUAAAUGGGGAGGCCCCAUGUUUUAUGUUUCCUGAACUAUACCAGCUGGCCAGAUUCAAGAUCUCGGUUAGAGAGGCGCUCCACAAUGGAAGAUGGAUACAGGGGCUGCAGAGAAUGCCAAUAGAAGGGCAACUUAAUCAUUCCGUCCGGCUUUGGGAGGAGCUUCAAUCGAUCCAGCUCACGGACAACAAAGACAAGAUCCUAUGGACCCUAACUGCUAAUCGGAAAUACUCUAUCGUCUCUGCUUAUGACGCCCACUUUGUGGCAAGGAUCACCAAGCCUGGGCUGGCCCACGUAUGGAGGGGCAAGAUGGAAGGAAAAGUUAAAUUGUACUUAUGGUUGUUGCUGCAAAAUGGAAACUGGAUGGUGGACCGUCUGCAAGCAAGGGGAUUGCCGCACAACGACCUAUGUUUCCUAUGUGAUCAAGAAAAGGAUACGGCCAAACACAUCACCCUGACUUGCUGCUUUGCGAAAGAGGUAUGGCUCCAGUUCCAGCAAGCUAAUGGCAGGAUGGGCAUGGUGGCCUCCUCGACCACUUCCAUUGGAGAUUUGGUGGUCUCGGUUGUGCACAUGCGGUGGAACCAUGGACAAGAACAUAGAUGA